This is a long non-coding RNA of Paramacrobiotus metropolitanus, 277 nucleotides long. RefSeq lists it as uncharacterized. The record is from RefSeq and is a predicted model, not a curated record. Lineage: Eukaryota; Metazoa; Tardigrada; Eutardigrada; Parachela; Macrobiotidae. The transcript has 5 exons.
UGCAGUUUUAGUGAAAGGAUGGGGAGGUGACGAUGAUGGGCUGCUCAAAUAUCUUCUGGCUAAAGGAUCCGGAAACGGCGAUGAGAUAAACACAUUGUUGCCGCUACUUUUCGGACUAAUCGCGUUACUGAUUAUGAAGCUGCCCACAUAAAUACAGCGGAUGAUAACGAUUACGGGGCUAUCAGACCUUCAGUUUCCGAUGUUGACUAUGGUAUACUUGUAUUUUUUAUACGUACUUAAUCUCUGCGAAGCAGUAAGAAUGUGAUUUGCCAUUUUA